This 479-nucleotide ribosomal RNA is filed under the name uncultured bacterium. RNAcentral's name for it is "SSU rRNA". It matches the Rfam family "Bacterial small subunit ribosomal RNA", at positions 26 to 523 of the family's 1533-position model. The record is from RNAcentral.
AGGACGAACGCUGGCGGCGUGCUUAACACAUGCAAGUCGAGCGGAAAGGCCCUUCGGGGUACUCGAGCGGCGAACGGGUGAGUAACACGUGAGUAAUCUGCCCCUAGCUCUGGGAUAGCUCCGGGAAACCGGGAUUAAUACCAGAUACGACCACUUUAGACAUCUGCUGUGGUGGAAAGAAUUUCGGCUAGGGAUGAGCUCGCGGCCUAUCAGCUUGUUGGUGAGGUAACGGCUCACCAAGGCGACGACGGGUAGCCGGCCUGAGAGGGCGACCGGCCACACUGGGACUGAGACACGGCCCAGACUCCUACGGGAGGCAGCAGUGGGGAAUAUUGCACAAUGGGCGCAAGCCUGAUGCAGCGACGCCGCGUGGGGGAUGACGGCCUUCGGGUUGUAAACCUCUUUCAGUAGGGACGAAGCGCAAGUGACGGUACCUACAGAAGAAGCACCGGCCAACUACGUGCCAGCAGCCGCGGUAA